CACCUGGGGAGUACGGUCGCAAGAUUGAAACUCAAAGGAAUUGACGGGGGCCCGCACAAGCGGUGGAGCAUGUGGUUUAAUUCGAUGAUACGCGAGGAACCUUACCAGGGCUUAAAUGUUUUGACAGCUUUAGAGAUAGAGUUUUCUUCGGACAGAAUACAAGGUGCUGCAUGGUUGUCGUCAGCUCGUGCCGUGAGGUGUCAGGUUAAGUCCUAUAACGAGCGCAACCCUUGUCGUUAGUUGCCAGCAUUUCAAAUGGGGACUCUAGCGAGACUGCCGGUGCAAACCGGAGGAAGGUGGGGAUGACGUCAGAUCAUCACGGCCCUUACGUCCUGGGCCACACACGUGCUACAAUGGUAUAGACAAUGAGCAGCCACUACGCAAGUAGGCGCGAAUCUAUAAACUAUAUCACAGUUCGGAUCGGAGUCUGCAACUCGCUUAUAUGAAGGUGGAAUCACUAGUAAUCGCAAAUCAGCAUGUUGCGGUGAAUACGUAUCUUGGUCUUGAACACACCGCCCGUC
RNAcentral lists this ribosomal RNA (521 nucleotides) under uncultured Tenacibaculum sp. RNAcentral describes it as "bacterial SSU rRNA". It matches the Rfam family "Bacterial small subunit ribosomal RNA", at positions 870 to 1398 of the family's 1533-position model. The record is from RNAcentral. Lineage: Bacteria; Pseudomonadati; Bacteroidota; Flavobacteriia; Flavobacteriales; Flavobacteriaceae.